CUUAAUAUAAUUUAAGCAAUGGACUGAAGUCCAAGAUACACAGCAAUUAUAUCUGCAAACAAUCUAUAAACAGUAUCUUCAGAUUCUGUAGUUACUAAUCUGUAGAUAAAGCCAUAAGAAUUCUUUCCUACCAGUUCUUCCUUUUUUAUCAUCUAGACUUUUUUUUCUAGAAAACUGAAUGCCUGUCAUUGAUAAAUUUUGGAGGAAACACCCAAAUUACACUUACACUAUGGAAAGAUGACAAGAAUGUGUUGACUGGAUGCUUUCCACUCACGUUUUCAUCAGCAGCCUAUGGAAAAAAAUAGCCUUUGAGGAAAAGAGGAAGGUAGAAUUCGGAUAUUUACCUGCCUGGUGUCAUUGCUAUCCUGGGUUGAAAUGCUGAGAGUGGAGGCUACAAGUGAUCUGAAUAAAAUGGAAACUGCAUUGAGGUGAUGAAACAGACCUUUCAGAUCAAGAUAGUAUUUUAACAGCCUUUUAAAAAAUAAGUGGUAAAUUUUUUCUUCCUGGAAAAAGAAGUCAAAGAUGUAACUUUACACAAUUUCUACCCUUUUUAUUGAUAUUAGGCAUUCAAUGUUUGAUGACUAAUUGAGACAUCAAGUCCCAACUAACUGGCCAGCUGUUUUGGAAGGAUAAAAACAACUUUUUCUUAGCUCUGUACAUGAUGCAGCUUGUUACUCUCCAGAUAGUGCCUUGGAUUGAAAACAAGAUCUAGACCUUUUUGAGUAUUUUAUUUCCAGCAUAAGAAAUGAUUUGGUUCCUCAUUCUUCUUUAUUGUUUACAGAAUACACUAUAAUUUUCAGAUUUAAAGUAAAAUAAGUAUGUGGAUUGUGUUUUGGUAAAGCCCUUUCUUAGCCAGCUUGACUAUUGUCUAGUACCAGACGUCGACAGCUAACAUUUCAUGAAAUCAGUGAUUUACUUUAUUAAAACAAUGAGCUUUAGCCUGAAAGUUAUUGCUGCUCUAUUAUUAACAAAAUGGUAAGUUUUUUAAAAAUUAAUUUUAAUUCAUUCUACUGAAAUUAAAAUUUCCAGUUAGAAGUGGAGUGGAUGAUAUUUAUAAUCCAAGUUUUUACAUCACAUCCAUUGAUCUACCUAUCCCUUCUUUUCACUCCAAAGAAGAGAUGAUAGAAUAAUACAUUAGAUAUACUAUAGAGAUGCAAAAUUAUAAUGUAUUUCAUUUUACUGUUGGAAUUUCUUAUUGUAACAUUGUAUGAUAACCUAAAAUGUUUACUUGUGCC
RNAcentral lists this long non-coding RNA (1235 nucleotides) under Equus caballus (horse). RNAcentral describes it as "lncRNA (ENSECAG00000044865.1)". Lineage: Eukaryota; Metazoa; Chordata; Mammalia; Perissodactyla; Equidae. The record is from RNAcentral.